CAAAAAAGCCAYWGASYYUUUASUYARGKRWSGWUKGUSACCAGCGGAGGGAUCAUUACCGAGUUUACAACUCCCAAACCCAAUGUGAACGUUACCAAACUGUUGCCUCGGCGGGGUCACGCCCCGGGUGCGUCGCAGCCCCGGAACCAGGCGCCCGCCGGAGGAACCAACCAAACUCUUUCUGUAGUCCCCUCGCGGACGUAUUUCUUACAGCUCUGAGCAAAAAUUCAAAAUGAAUCAAAACUUUCAACAACGGAUCUCUUGGUUCUGGCAUCGAUGAAGAACGCAGCGAAAUGCGAUAAGUAAUGUGAAUUGCAGAAUUCAGUGAAUCAUCGAAUCUUUGAACGCACAUUGCGCCCGCCAGUAUUCUGGCGGGCAUGCCUGUCCGAGCGUCAUUUCAACCCUCGAACCCCUCCGGGGGAUCGGCGUUGGGGAUCGGGACCCCUCACACGGGUGCCGGCCCCGAAAUACAGUGGCGGUCUCGCCGCAGCCUCUCCUGCGCAGUAGUUUGCACAACUCGCACCGGGAGCGCGGCGCGUCCACGUCCGUAAAACACCCAACUUUCUGAAAUGUUGACCUCGGAUCAGGUAGGAAUACCCGCUGAACUUAAGCAUAUCAAAAGCCSGGAGGAA
RNAcentral lists this ribosomal RNA (632 nucleotides) under Trichoderma asperellum. Its description in RNAcentral is "eukaryotic LSU rRNA". Lineage: Eukaryota; Fungi; Ascomycota; Sordariomycetes; Hypocreales; Hypocreaceae. The record is from RNAcentral.